RNAcentral lists this long non-coding RNA (5298 nucleotides) under Olea europaea (common olive). Its description in RNAcentral is "long non-coding RNA (OEUR_LNC005548)". The record is from RNAcentral. Lineage: Eukaryota; Viridiplantae; Streptophyta; Magnoliopsida; Lamiales; Oleaceae.
CUAAGUAGAACACUUUAAGAAAGGGACAAUGAAGGAACACAAGAACUUACAAAGAAGGCUUUGUAUUGAAUAAGGAUACUCUUUACAACUUCACUCUCUUGAUGCCUUCAAAUGAAUCCUACCAAGCUAUUUAUAGUAGUAGCCUCCUCAAAUGGAUGGCUAGGAUCUUUUCUAUCCAAUGGUCUAGAUUACACAUCUAGAAUUACCUAUACAAAUAUUUACAUUAAAAUAUUUAUGGACUAAACUAGGAUGAUCUAGAAUAAUCCACCAAGUGAGGAGCUUGUAGGCUUCUAGAAUGUCCCACCAUAUUCUAGCAAUCUUCAUGCACUUGUGGGAGUCUAGAAUAUUCCGGUUAGCCUCAAGUCGUCAACAUUUUAAAUUUCUCGAUCUUCUUGUGCCAAAAUCGAGCGAGUCGUGACAUUCUCCCCUGCCUAUUUGGGCGACGCCCUCGUCGCNNNNNNNNNNNNNNNNNNNNNNNNNNNNNNNNNNNNNNNNNNNNNNNNNNNNNNNNNNNNNNNNNNNNNNNNNNNNNNNNAUGAAUCUUUAAAGUGCUAGGUAGGUCAAGGCGAUAAGAUACCUUGCCAACCUUAGCUGUCACCGGGAACGGCCCUUCAUAUCUCCGUACCAAGCCUUUGUGCACACUUCGGUACGCCUUGAAUUGUUGAGGUAAUAUUUUCACAAGGACUUGGUCGCCAACUUUAAAAUCCAAAGGCCGUCUCUUCUUAUCGGCCUACUUCUUCAUGAGCCUCCGUGCUUUGUUUAAACAAGAUCGUGCUAAGUCAGCAUGCUCUUCCCAUGACUUAGCCAUUUUGUAUGCUCCGGGACUUUUCCCUCCUUCAAUAGAAGUGGACAAAGUGUGGGGUGUUAGUGGUUGUUGUCCUGUCGCCAACUCGAAUGGACUCCGCCCCGUGGCUUUACUCCUUUGUAAAUUGUAGGAAAAUUGUGCAAUAUCCAGGAGCUUGGCCCAAUCUCUCUGAUUGGCACUUACAAAGUGCCGGAGAUAGCACUCCAACAAAGCAUUCACCCUUUUUGUUUGUCCAUCCAUCUGAGGGUGAAAGCUUGUAGAGAAGUGUAGGUCCGAGCCUAGGAGUUUGAACAACUCCGUCCACAGCCGACCCGUGAAUCGGGGAUCACGAUCACUUAUUAUGCUCCGCGGUAACCCCCAAUACUUCACAACAUUCUUGAAGAAUAGCCUUGCUGCUUCCUCUGCUGUGCAAUCCUUGGUGACAGGAAUGAAGGUGCCGUACUUAGAGAAUCGAUCAACCACCACCAUUAUUGACCCGAACCCUUCAAAUUUAGGCAGGGCACUAAUGAAGUCCAUGGUGAUAGAGUCCCAUGGAUGCUCCGGGACUGGUAGACGCUCCAACAAACCUGCUGGUGUCUUUGUUUCCACCUUGUCUUGUGCACCUUGUCUUGUUGGCACACAAGACAAGUCUUUACAUAGAGCUCCACCAUUUCUUUCAUUUGCGGCCAAUAGUAAGCUCGUUCAAGUAGUGCCAAUGUGCGUUUCUGCCCUGGAUGACCAGCCCACUUUGUGUCAUGGCACUCCUUGAUGAUAUCUCGCCACAAAUUGUUCCAUUUAGGAACAUAGAUACGCUGUCCCGUAGUGUAGAGUAAGCCGUCCUCGACCCAAAACCGUCGCGUCUUUCCUUCUUAGGCAGCUUUUACCAACUCCUUAGCCAAGGGAUCAUGAUCCAUGCCUUCCCGAAUCAAAUCAAGCAACGUCCCUUUGGCUUGGCUUAUGGCUGCAAGCUCCGCCUUCCUGCUUAACGCAUCGGCUACAACAUUCGCCUUCCCCGGCUUGUAUUCCAUCACAUAGUCAAACUCCGCUAAGAAAUCUUGCCAACGUGCUUGCUUGGGAGUCAGCUUCUUUUGUGAUUGGAAAUAACUAGUAGCGACACUAUCUGUCUUGAUGAUGAAUUUUGAGCCCAACAAGUAAUAACGCCACACUCGUAGGCAAUGAACAAUAGCCGUCAUCUCCUUUUCUUGCACCGUAUACCGACGCUCAGUGUCGUUGAGCUUGCGACUUUCAAAAGCAAUAGGAUGCCUGUUUUGCAUUAGAACACCCCCGAUAGCAAAGUCUGAGGCAUCUGUUUGUACUUCAAAGGUCUUGGUGAAAUCCGGCAAUGCUAAGACCGGUUUCUCCAUCACGAUCGCCUUCAAAUUAUCAAAGGCCGUUUGAUAUUUCUUAGACCAAUCCCCUGUCUUAUUCUUCUUCAAUAGGUCCAUUAGUGGGGCUGCCCUCGCUGAGUAGCCUUGGAUGAACCGCCGAUAAUAAUUAACUAGACCAAGGAAAGAACGAAGUUCGGUUACCUUGGUUGGUGCUUCCCACUCCUUGAUUGCUUUUACUUUUGCCUCAUCCAUCUUCAAGCGCCCGUGGCCAAUGAUAUGUCCAAGGAAGUGCACCUCCUCCUUGGCAAAGGAACAUUUUUCCUUUUUGAUGUAUAGCUCAUUCUCCUGCAAUGCUUGGAACACCGUUCGGAGAUAUUUUGCGUGAUCCUCCAAGUUGUCGCUAUAGAUGACAAUGUCAUCCAAGUAUACCACCACGAACUUGUCCAAGUAAGGUUGGAAAAUCCUAUUCAUCAAUGUGCAAAAUGUGGCCGGGGCGUUGGUUAAGCCAAAAGGCAUUACCAACCAUUCGAAUGAGCCAUAUCGAGUGAUGCAUGCUGUCUUAGGCUCAUCCCCUUCUGCAAUCCAUACUUGGUAAUAUCCCUUUUAUAGAUCCACCUUUGUGUAAUAUUUUGCACUACCAAGACUAUCAAAUAAAUCAGCAAUCAAAGGAAUAGGAUACUUGUUUUUAAUUGUUACCUUGUUGAGCGCCCGGUAAUCUACACACAUGCGUAACGAUCCAUCAUGCUUCUUUUGGAACAAGACCGAAGCGCCACAAGGUGCCUUCGAAGGUCGUAUCCUCCCCGUGUCAAGCAACUCCGUCAAUUACUUUCGAAGUUCUUCCAGCUCCGGCGGUGCCAUCCGAUAGGGUGCCAUGGAUGGUGGUUUGGCACCCGGCUCCAACUCAAUCUUAUGAUCCACCUCCCUCCUAGGUGGUAAUUUCUUGGGUAACUCCGGCGGCAUCACGUCCUUAUUUUCUUCAAGGACAUUCUUGAUGACUUCGGGCACAUUAUCGUCACCCACAACUUCCUCAACUUGGUCCUCCAUUUUUAAUGCUGCCAAAUACGUCGCCUCUCCUUUCUUUAGCCCUUUUGCUAGUUGCAUGGCCGAAAGCUGCCCUAUUACUUUCGUCCUAGCUACCGUAGGAACCAUGCAUGGAGAACCCCUCUCCAAGAUGCAAACCGAGCCAAAGGAAGGCAUAGGAAUAGCAUUGACCUUCCUCAUGAAGUCCAACCCAAGAACCAAGCGAAAAUCAUCCAUUGUAGCCACCGAAAAAUCCACUUGGCCAUGCCAAGUGCCUAAUUGAAUUUCCACUCCUCGAACUAUGCCACCAAGGGGCGUGGAUGGAGAAUUCACAGCUUUCAUAAGACCACCACCUUUAGUGAUUGUGAGGCCCAACCUUCUAGCCUCAUCUUCAGUAAUGAAGUUGUUGGUAGCUCCCGUAUCCACCAUUGCUAGUGCGGGCCGACUAUUUACUUGAGCUUCCACAUACAUUAAUUCUCGUUUAUUAUUGGAAGUCGGAAUGACCUUAGCAUUGAGAGCGUUAAGAAGUUGCAAUGAACUAAAAUGUUCCGCCCUUCGAUCUUGGCAAGAGGAUGAAUCCCGUUCCUCUGCCAUAGCCGCCAAUGUGCUAAGUUUAGGGCAAUCACGCAUUAAAUGUGGCCCCUUGCACACGAAGCAUCCACUUUGAGAACCCGUCGAGGCCUUCUUCUUUUCCUCAUAAUUUUUUCGCGAGAGGGAAGGUUUGUAAGUGUUACCACCUUUGAAGAAUGAUGACUUAUGGUAAUCUUUCUUCUCUCCCCCGCCUUUAGCCGAGUUACUCUUAAAGCUUUUAGAAGAUUUUGAUGAAUCCGUGCUCCUUUGGAACUCGGUUAAAGAUUCGGCCACCACAAUAGCCUCGUCUACUGUCUUCACUCCCCGACAUUGAAGUUCUUACUUCGCCCAAUUUUGCAAUCCGUCGGUAAAGUGAUACAAUAGAUCUUCAUCUGACAUGCUCGGGAUUUGAAGCACAAGGGUAGUAAACUCUUUGACAUAAUCGCGAAUAGUGCCCUUAUGUUUCAAUUCCCUAAGCUUUUUACGGGCCUCAUAUACUACAUUUUCGGGAUAAAAUUGGCGUUUCAAUUCCUUCUUGAAAUCAUCCCAUCUAUCUAUCCUACAAGCACCCUUUUCUAUGUCGGCGUGCUUACGUCGCCACCAUAGAGCCGCGGUGUCCAUAAGAUACAUAGUCGAAGUACGUACCUUAAUAGCUUCAUCCAAAAUGUUCACGACCUCAAAAUAUAUUUCCAAUCGCCAUAGGAAAUCAUCUAGCUCUUUUGCAUCUCGCUUUCCAUCGAACUCCCUAGGCUUUGGAUAGUCGAUCCUUGGAGCCGCUAGAAUCGUGCUAGUACCCGCACUAGUUGACGCCUUCUUACAAGCGUCUAGGCCACUUUGCAUAUCCGCGCAAAGCUUGUUCACUUGGUCUUGGAUCGCUUUGACAGCAUCCAUGACCUUAUCCUCCAACUUCGUAUAUUCUUUCCUUAAAGCGCCUUGGUCUUCCUUGAGAUCAUCAAGUUGUUCCAAAGUGUGAGCUUCAAGGGUUGAGAGUGAAUUCUCCACUACUUCAAUGCGUUUCCCCAUAUUGAGAAAUACUUCCUCAAGAGAUCCACCGGUAGGGGCUGGUGGUCGGCUCUUGCUUCGAGUUUGUCGAGUUUUCUUACUCGUGGUUUGGGGUUCGACCUCUCCACCCCGCUCGUCAUGUUCUACUUCCGAAAUGUCGGAUCCCACAACAUCUUUUUCGCUAUGCCAACGAUAGUAAGUAAGCAAACCUAGGCUCUGAUACCAACUGUCACGGACUUGCUAAUUUCCUUCAAGAACCGUGCGGCCUUAGUGUCUUCAACUUCCGCCCCCCGCGAUUAUUACACUAAGUCAGCCUCCCGAUUGGCGUUGAUGUCUUAGAAAGGCACUAAGUAGAAUACUUUAAGAAAGGGACAAUGAAGGAACACAAGAACUUACAAAGAAGGCUUUGUAUUGAAUAAGGAUACUCUUUACAACUUCACUCUCUUGAUACCUUCAAAUGAAUCCUACCAAGCUAUUUAUAGUAGUAGCCUCCUCAAAUGGAUGGUUAGGAUCUUUUCUAUCCAAUGGUCUAGAUUACACAUCUAGAAUUACCUAUACAAAUAUUUACAUUAAAAUAUUUAUGGACUAAACUAG